This 73-nucleotide transfer RNA is filed under the name Planktothrix serta PCC 8927. Its description in RNAcentral is "tRNA-Thr". It matches the Rfam family "tRNA". Rfam says of the family: Transfer RNA (tRNA) molecules are approximately 80 nucleotides in length. Their secondary structure includes four short double-helical elements and three loops (D, anti-codon, and T loops). The record is from RNAcentral. Lineage: Bacteria; Bacillati; Cyanobacteriota; Cyanophyceae; Oscillatoriales; Microcoleaceae.
GCUGCUUUAGCUCAGUUGGUAGAGCGGUUCACUCGUAAUGAACAGGUCGUCGGUUCGAGUCCGAUAAGCAGCU